AACGAACGCUGGCGGCAUGCCUAACACAUGCAAGUCGAACGAAGCCUUCGGGCUUAGUGGCGCACGGGUGCGUAACGCGUGGGAAUCUGCCCCUUGCUUCGGAAUAACAGUUAGAAAUGACUGCUAAUACCGGAUGAAGUCUUCGGACCAAAGAUUUAUCGGCAAGGGAUGAGCCCGCGUAGGAUUAGGUAGUUGGGGGGGUAAAGGCCUACCAAGCCGACGAUCCUUAGCUGGUCUGAGAGGAUGAUCAGCCACACUGGGACUGAGACACGGCCCAGACUCCUACGGGAGGCAGCAGUGGGGAAUAUUGGAGAAUGGACGCAAGUCUGAUCCAGCAAUGCCGCGUGAGUGAUGAAGGCCUUAGGGUUGUAAAGCUCUUUUACCAGGGAUGAUAAUGACGGUACCUGGAGAAUAAGCACCGGCUAACUCCGUG
RNAcentral lists this ribosomal RNA (433 nucleotides) under uncultured bacterium. RNAcentral describes it as "partial 16S ribosomal RNA". It matches the Rfam family "Bacterial small subunit ribosomal RNA", at positions 29 to 507 of the family's 1533-position model. The record is from RNAcentral.